This 232-nucleotide long non-coding RNA is filed under the name Mytilus galloprovincialis (Mediterranean mussel). The record is from RNAcentral. Lineage: Eukaryota; Metazoa; Mollusca; Bivalvia; Mytilida; Mytilidae.
GGUGUCUAGUAUAAAAAAGCAUAAUUAUUACAUAAUUUCAGUUUUUUCAGUGUAACUUGAUACCCCAUGAUUUUUUUCUCUUAAAAAGUCCUUAAAUCAUGAUGUUUUAUCAUUCUGGGCACACAAAAGUCCACAUGAGCUACUUCCUUGCAGUGAACAUAUGAAAAAAAUACCCUAUGCAGGUUGCAGUCUUGUAAUUGACUGCUCCAUAGGCUUACAUGCAAAACAGCUG